RNAcentral lists this ribosomal RNA (125 nucleotides) under uncultured bacterium. RNAcentral's name for it is "partial 16S ribosomal RNA". It matches the Rfam family "Bacterial small subunit ribosomal RNA", at positions 1360 to 1482 of the family's 1533-position model. The record is from RNAcentral.
CGGUGAAUACGUUCCCGGGCCUUGUACACACCGCCCGUCACACCACGGGAGUGGGUAACACCCGAAGCCGGUGGUCUAACCCUUUUGGGAGGAAGCCGUCGAAGGUGGGACCCGUGACUGGGGUG